Molecule: ribosomal RNA, 253 nt
Filed under: uncultured bacterium
Lineage: Bacteria
Description: partial 16S ribosomal RNA
Rfam family: Bacterial small subunit ribosomal RNA
Source: RNAcentral
UACGUAGGGCGCAAGCGUUGUCCGGAUUCACUGGGUGUAAAGGGUGCGCAGGCGGGACGACAAGUCAGGGGUGAAAUCUUACGGCUCAACCGUGAAACUGCCUUUGAUACUGUUGUUCUUGAGUUAGGGAGAGGUUGAUGGAAUUCCAGGUGUAGCGGUGAAAUGCGUAGAUAUCUGGAAGAACACCGGUGGCGAAGGCGGUCAACUGGCCCUCAACUGACGCUGAGGCACGAAAGCGUGGGGAUCAAACAGG